AUUGAACGCUAGCGGCAGGCUUAACACAUGCAAGUCGAACGAGUGGCGGACGGGUGAGUAAUGCUUGGGAAUCUAGCUUAUGGAGGGGGAUAACUACUGGAAACGGUAGCUAAUACCGCAUACCAUCAGAUGAACCAAUAUGGGAUUAGCUUGUAGGUGAGGUAACGGCUCACCUAGGCGACGAUCCCUAGCUGGUCUGCGAGGAUGAUCAGCCACACUGGGACUGAGACACGGCCCAGACUCCUACGGGAGGCAGCAGUGGGGAAUAUUUCACAAUGGGCGCAAGCCUGAUGCAGCCAUGCCGCGUGUAUGAAGAAGGCCCUAGGGUUGUAAAGUACUUUCAGUCGGGAGGCGUUACCGACAGAAGAAGCACCGGCUAACUCCGUGCCAGCAGCCGCGGUAAUAC
This 406-nucleotide ribosomal RNA is filed under the name uncultured bacterium. Its description in RNAcentral is "partial 16S ribosomal RNA". It matches the Rfam family "Bacterial small subunit ribosomal RNA", at positions 30 to 526 of the family's 1533-position model. The record is from RNAcentral.